GCGCCCAUAGCUUAAUGGAUAAAGUAUUUGAUUCCGAUUCAAAAGACUGUAGGUUCGAUUCCUACUGGGCGCGCCA
Molecule: transfer RNA, 76 nt
Filed under: Erysipelotrichaceae bacterium
Lineage: Bacteria; Bacillati; Bacillota; Erysipelotrichia; Erysipelotrichales; Erysipelotrichaceae
Description: tRNA-Arg
Rfam family: tRNA
About the family: Transfer RNA (tRNA) molecules are approximately 80 nucleotides in length. Their secondary structure includes four short double-helical elements and three loops (D, anti-codon, and T loops). Further hydrogen bonds mediate the characteristic L-shaped molecular structure. tRNAs have two regions of fundamental functional importance: the anti-codon, which is responsible for specific mRNA codon recognition, and the 3' end, to which the tRNAs corresponding amino acid is attached (by aminoacyl-tRNA synthetases). tRNAs cope with the degeneracy of the genetic code in two manners: having more than one tRNA (with a specific anti-codon) for a particular amino acid; and 'wobble' base-pairing, i.e. permitting non-standard base-pairing at the 3rd anti-codon position.
Source: RNAcentral